UUAACCUAUAGCAUCUCUUAAUGUUAAACUUUGUUAAGAAUCAACUAAAUUACCUUUUUCGGGCCUUAAACACAAAGCUCCGCCUACUUUCUUUAAUAAGUACGGGAUUCUGAAACAGCGGGAUUAUCAGUAAGACCUGAAUUUUCGACACCGAAGGAUGCACAUUUCCAUUGGUGGCGAAUAACGUUACAGAUCUAGACAAACAUAUGGUGAAGAAAUUAGUUU
Molecule: long non-coding RNA, 225 nt
Filed under: Mytilus galloprovincialis (Mediterranean mussel)
Lineage: Eukaryota; Metazoa; Mollusca; Bivalvia; Mytilida; Mytilidae
Source: RNAcentral